CGGCUCCCUCAACGAGUGAAACCGUGAAUUGUUGUCGGCUGGUAGGGAAUGCUGCCUAGUGCCUCUUUAAGUUGGUUCAGGUGUUCUGCCUUGAAUAAAAGAAAAAUAAGCCGUCACUCACAGCUAACCCGCUCCUGGAAUUCUCCAGACUUUAGUCUUCAGUAUAAACAGCCCACAAAAAA
Non-coding RNA from Chelonoidis abingdonii (Abingdon island giant tortoise), 182 nucleotides. Lineage: Eukaryota; Metazoa; Chordata; Testudines; Testudinidae. The record is from RefSeq and is a predicted model, not a curated record.